This is a non-coding RNA of Bactrocera oleae (olive fruit fly), 2541 nucleotides long. The record is from RefSeq and is a predicted model, not a curated record. Lineage: Eukaryota; Metazoa; Arthropoda; Insecta; Diptera; Tephritidae.
UCAAAUAAAAAAGUUUUACAUACAAGGGCUUGAUUUUGAUCGAUCAGUUUAUAUGGCAGCUAUAUCCAAUUGUGGUCCGAUACCGGCGAUUCCGGAAAAUGAGCGGCCGCUUGGGGAGAAAAGAACGUGUGCAAAAUUUCAGAUCGAUAUCUCAAAAACUGAGGGACUAGUUCGCGUAUAUACAGACGGGCGGACAUGGCUAGUCAGCUUGUCAAGCUGUUCACUUUGUAUAUAAUUUAUGGCGUUUCCGGCGUUUCCUUCUGGGUGUUCCAUACUUCAUGGCAAACUGUUCCGCGUAAAAAAAUGUAAUGGCAUCAAGCUGAGAGCCAUAGUAGUUAACUUCCAGAAGUAGCUCUUAUCUAAAGCCUGGAUUUUACACGAAAUUUAAAAUAUGACCAAGCCGAAUAUUUGAUAUUGUAAAAACAAAAUCCAAGUUCAAGUCACCGGAACCACAUUAGACCGACUUCCGGCUUUAAUUUAAGCGGAAACGGAUGAUAGCUAUCAAACGUAUCAGAGACGGAGGUAUUCGUAUGUUUGUGGAAAGAGAUGACAACAGGCUUCAAUAGGAAGCCCUUUUAUUAUAACUGCAAUGGCUUAGAGAUUAUAGACUAUUCAAAGCAAUAACUAUAAUAUCAGUUCUAGCCUUAAAAAUAUGUAAGUACAGUAAGAAAACUAUCGUCAAUAUUUUUAAAAUUUAUAAAGAUGCUAUGCUAUGCUCACAGAAAAUUUAUAGAAAAUGUGGAUUGAAACCAUGACGAAACAACUUGGACAUAUUUUCUGAAUUAUAAAUUUUUCUGUAAUAAUAAAACAGUAUCUAAGCUCAUAUACAUAUUUGUAUAAAAAUUCAAAGCAUUUAACCUUUUUUAAAAAAAUGGUUUUAAUAAAACCUCAAAUAUCAUUAAUAAUUAUGAUUUAAUUAGUUUUUUUAUAUGACUUUUUAAGUUCCAAGCCGAGGGUUCUUUAUCUUUAAACCAAGAGCUGCCGAGGAGUGACUUAGAAAUUUUACGCUGCCACGAAACUUAUUGUUAUUACGAGAAGAAACCGACGGACAUGAUUCCGUAUUUUGGUGUUUAGUGAUUGUUGUUGUAGUUGUAACGACAUAAAAUAUUCGGCAAUUUAUUUAGAGAAGACGAUAAGUCAUUAAAACCCGUGUUGCUAUGUUUAAGAAGUUCAAGACCAACAUCUCAGUUAACGUCCCGAAAUCAUUAGAUUGCCAUGGAAACGAGUUGGAAGCACUAAAACCGGUUUAUGGAAUUGGUAAACACAAGUAUGCUUUAAAAUGGGUCACAUGAGAAUAUGAUUUGACGCUCUCCUGUCAAAUAUUGAUUUGAAGACAUUUAAAUAUUACAUGACCCCACAAUUCUACGACACGUUUCUGUCACUGUAUAUGUGUGCAACAACAAAAGUGUUUUUCGAAGUGUGUAUACAUACAAUACAUAAAUGAGUUAGAGUUUUUUCCGUAUUAAAGCACAUAGGUGUAAUUAAAAAAAAAAAAAUAAUAAUAAAUACAAAUUUUUACACUUUAUUGAGCGAAUAAACGACAUUAAGAGGAACAACUCGCGAUCACAAUUUUGAUAAGCGCACAACGAGACCAACAAAGAGCUGCUCUAUAAAGUUUACGAGUUACAUACAGCGCAAAGUGUAUAUUAUUGUAAAUACAAAUAAAUAUGUACACACAGCAGUCACCAGCUGAGCCAACAAGGGACCCACGGACUUGCCAAUCAGAUACUAUGCGCACACAAUCAAGCCAACAAAAUAAUCACUUCAAAUUGCUGUUGCUGUCGACGUCGCCUUUGCUUUUGUAACCUUUCAUUUACUUCGUUUGUCAUAAUGCCGUUGCGAAGUUAAGGCAGUCGGCAGUGCUCAUAGCUCACUUGUGGCCACCACUUAGUAAAUCAAUUUACCUAUCGGGCCGAAAAUCUAUAUAGUUUUAAACAGAAAAAUAUUCCUCACCGCCAGACACUGUUUCGGAGGUCCUACUGAAAGCCGGCUACGGGAUCAAGGGAUUCCAAAAUUUUUCAAAAUUCAUCGCCGAUUAUUAAGGAACAGUAAAUUAUCUUAAAGUACAUUAUCUUUAUUUAUUAAAUAAAAUACAGCAAAAACGCAAUUUUCUGAAUUGCAAAUGGAUAUGACCACUUAAUUGACUGCACAAUACUUAGCAUAUUAUAAAACUAUAUUUACCGUUUCAACGACAGCCGCGUCGAUGUAACCGAAAUGAACGCGAAAUAAUGAAAUAUCACCCCAUCGACAUACCCAAGAAAAUCUGAGAAAUUGUUUAUAAUACUACAACAACAAGAAGAGCAACCAUAUUAACUCUGAUUCUUUUUAUUACUUUUAGGAAGUUAUAACCAACAAUUAAAGAAACUUUAUUAGCACUGACGAUAAGUUGAUUUUCCGGACUUUUUUACAGGCCAUUAUACGUUAAUUACAACAACAUUUUCACAAGAAACGUAAUAGUAUUUACCUAAUAAUAUAAGCAAAUAGACUUGUAAGACAACAGCAACGAUUUAUUGCAAUGAGUCGUUAGCACUUAAUUAAAGU